RNAcentral lists this ribosomal RNA (253 nucleotides) under uncultured bacterium. RNAcentral describes it as "partial 16S ribosomal RNA". It matches the Rfam family "Bacterial small subunit ribosomal RNA", at positions 524 to 776 of the family's 1533-position model. The record is from RNAcentral.
UACGAAUGGGGCAAGCGUUGUUCGGAAUCACUGGGCUUAAAGCGUGCGCAGGCGGUCAUGAAAGUCAGAAGUGAAAUCCCAGGGCUUAACCCUGGAAUUGCUUUUGAAACUCCAUGACUAGAAUCCCGGAGAGGUUAGCAGAAUUCCGAGUGUAGAGGUGAAAUUCGCAGAUAUUCGGAGGAAUACCAAUGGCGAAGGCAGCUAACUGGACGGGCAUUGACGCUCAGGCACGAAAGCGUGGGUAGCAAACAGG